Molecule: ribosomal RNA, 965 nt
Filed under: uncultured organism
Description: bacterial SSU rRNA
Rfam family: Bacterial small subunit ribosomal RNA
Source: RNAcentral
AAGAAACGCCUCUACUUGUAUAGGUUUGACAGUGCCGUAUCAAUAAUCAUCUCCUAACUCCGUGCCAGCCGCCGCGGUAAUACGGAGGAUGCAAGCGUUAUCCGGAUUUAUUGGGUUUAAAGGGUACGUAGGCGGGAGCUUAAUUCAGUGGUGAAAUCCUGCAGCUUAACUGUAUAACUGUCAUUGAUACUGGGCUUCUUGAAUGUACUUGAGGUCUGCGGAAUGUGUAAUGUAGCGGUGAAAUGCUUAGAUAUUACACAGAACACCGAUUGCGAAGGCAGCUUACUAAACUACGAUUGACGUUGAGGUACGAAAGCGUGGGGAGCGAACAGGAUUAGAUACCAUGGUAGUCCACGCUGUAAACGAUGAUCACUCGUUGUUGGCAAUACACCGUCAGCGAGUGAGCGAAAGCAUUAAGUGAUCCACAUGGGGAGUACGACCGCAAGGUUGAAACUCAAAGGAAUUGACGGGGGCCCGCACAAGCGGAGGAACAUGUGGUUUAAUUUGAUGAUACGCGAGGAACCUUACCUGAGCUUAAAUGUAGAACGACGGACCGGGAAACUGGUCUUUCUUCGGACGGUUUGCAAGGUGCUGCAUGGCUGUCGUCAGCUCGUGCCAUGAGGUGUCGGGUUAAGUCCCAUAACGAGCGCAACCCUCAUCAUUAGUGCCAGCGGGUAAUGCCGGGGACUUUAAUGAAACUGCCGGUGUAAACCGAGAGGAAGGUGGGGAUGACGUCAAGUCAGCACGGCCUUUUUGUCCAGGGCUACACACGUGUUACAAUGGUGGGUACAAAGGGCAGCUACCAGGCGACAGGAUGCUAAUCUCUAAAACAGCUCUCAGUUCGGUUCUAAGUCUGUAACUCGAAUUUGUGAAGCUGGAUUCUCUAGUAAUCGCGCAUCAGCCAUGGUGCGGUGAAUGAGGGCCCGGGCCUUGUACACUACGCUCGUCUAGCCCAGGAAGCUGGG